This 202-nucleotide long non-coding RNA is filed under the name Elaeis guineensis (African oil palm). Its description in RNAcentral is "long non-coding RNA (EGUI_LNC023351)". Lineage: Eukaryota; Viridiplantae; Streptophyta; Magnoliopsida; Arecales; Arecaceae. The record is from RNAcentral.
GGGGCCCUAAACACUAAAUGCAUGAGCUCUUGGCUAAUAAAAUAGAUGAAGUGAUGUGGUGAUCCGACAAAAAAGCAUGUUGCUCAAGGGAGAUUAGAAAGGGAAGGAUUAGCUUUAGUCUAUUAACAAGUAUCUUUGCUAUAAUUUUAUACAAAAUAUUACAAAGAGUAAUAGAUCGAUAAUCUGAAGGAUAUUAGGGACU